RNAcentral lists this long non-coding RNA (3606 nucleotides) under Homo sapiens (human). RNAcentral describes it as "non-protein coding lnc-TUBB2A-7:2". Lineage: Eukaryota; Metazoa; Chordata; Mammalia; Primates; Hominidae. The record is from RNAcentral.
AGAGUCCCUCUCCUUCCGGGAAGCCCGCGGCCGCCCCGGCCUCCACGCAAGCACCCGAGCGUUACUUUCGUUUCCGCGGCAAACGUCUGGAGGCCCGGGUGAGGGAAGAAGCGGCGGCGGAGGGUUGGGGAUUACUCCGACGCCGCGGCAGCCUUGCCCGGGCGUGCUGGGGGAGGGCGCGCGAACCCCGACCAGGGGGGUCACCGGGACUGAGCCCGGCGGCCUCCGGAAUGUUCCCCGCGCGGUGCCAGUCCGCUCACCGCGCCCUUCUCCGUGGCCGCGCCGUCCAGCCAAGUCCUGCCGCGCUCCGUCGGCCCCGCCCGGAUGGCCGCGCUCUGGCGCCCCAGCUGUGGGUCCCCUGGAGUCGCCGCGCUCCGGCAGCUGGCCCGCCGUCCGCGUCGAGCGCGCCCGGCUGGAGGGCGUGGACUGUUCGCGCUGCCUCCUCCCCCUGCCCCGGCCCUUGCCGGGGAGGAGGACCGCGAGAGCGCCGCCCCGCCGCUCGUGGGACCUCGCGCCCGGGGUCUGAGUCCCGGAGCUCUCUUGCGGGCUAGAGGAUCGCGGACUUUGUUUUCAAGCGAGUGGGGCGGCCUACGUAAAAGAGGAAACCGAAACCUCCGCGCGCACGAGAGGGAGAAGGGUCUGGAGGGAAGCACUGGGUGGAUUACAGCGGGGGCGCUAUCCGGAGGAUUCAGAGCUCUGCGGGUUAGCAUAGGCAAGUUAGCAUUCCUCUACCUUCAUCUGUAAAGUGGGGCUGUUGAGGAGGAAAUGUGAUUAUUUUGCAGCCCUUUAAAAUGGUAAUUGUGAAGUCUCGAGCAAAGUUGGAACUGCAUGCUAUUCAUGUAUAUUAAAAAUCAAAUAAUAAAAUUAUAUGCACAUCAGGCCGGGCGCGGUUGUUCACGCCUGUAAUCCCAGCACUUUGGGAAGCCAAGGCGGGCGGAUCACUUGAGGUCAGCAGUUCGAGACCAGCCUGGCCAACAUGGUGAAACCCCAUCUCUACUAAAAAAUACAAAAAUCAACUGGGCGUGGUGGCGGGCACCAGCAAUCCCAGCUACUCGGGAGGCUGAGGCAGGAGAAUCCCUUGAACCUGGGAGGUGGAGAUUGUAGUGAGCCGAGAUCGCGCCACUGCACUCCAGCCUGGGUGACAAGAGCAAGAUUCCGUCUCAAAAGGAAAAAAAAAAAAAGCACAACAGGAUUACAUACUGUGAAAAGAUAUGUAUGUCAAGAGAACUAGCCACGUUCACAACACGAGCCACAGACUGGGAGAAAAUAUUUGCAAAAGACAUAUCUGAUAAAGCACUGUGACCCAAAAUAUACCAAAAAAAACCCUCUUAAAAUGCAACAAUAUGAAAAUGUACAACUUGAUUAAAGGCGGGCAAAAGCUCUGAACAUACACCUCACCAUAUGUAUAUGCAUAUGAAAAGAUGCUCAACAUCAUGUCAUUAAAGAAUUGCAAUUUAAAAAAACAAAUACUAUUACACAUUUAUUAGAAUGGCUAAAAUUCAGAACACUGACAACAACAAAUGUUGAUGAGGAUCUGGAGCACAAGGAACUCCCAUACAUUCCUAGUGGGAAUGCCUAAUGUUAGAGUCUGGAAGACAUUUUGGCAAUUUCUUAACCAAGCUCUUCUUACCAUAAGAUGAAGCAACUCCACACCUUGGUAUUUACCCAAACGAGUUGAAAGCUUAUGCCCAUACAAACACCUGUACAAGAAUGUCUAUAGCAGCUUUAUUCAUAAUUGCCAAAACUUGAGGGCAUCCAAGAUAUCACUUAAUGGGUGGACAGAUAAGCUGUGGUACAUCUAUACAAUGGAAUAUUAAGUGCUAAAAAGAAAUGAGCUCUGAAGCCACAAAAAAAAAAAAAAAAAAAAAAAUCCUGGAGCAAUCCUAAAUGUAUAAAUCUAAGUGAAAGAAGCCAAUCUGAGAAGACUACAUAAUGCAUGAUUCCAACUAUGUGACAUUCUGGAAAAGGAAAAACUACGGAGAUAGUAAAAAAGAUCAGCGGCUGCCAGGGAUUUGCAGGGAAGGAGGGAUGGAUAGGUGAGGCACAAGGGAUUUUUAGGGCAGUGGAGUCUGACGUUACAGGGUUGGGUACAUCUCUAUACAUUUGUCAAAUGUAUCUUGAAUAUACACAAAGAGCAAAACCUAACAAACUCCGGACUUUGGCUGAUAAUGUAUAUGUUUUAUCCAUAUUGGUUCAUUUUUGUAACCAUGAAUCUAUGUUGGUUUAUCAGGUGUGACAAAUAUUCCACAGUAAUGCAGGAUGUUGAUGGUAGGGGAGGCUGUACAGUCCAGGAUGUUUGUGGAAGGGGAUAUUUUCUUUCUGCUUAGUUUUGCUGUAAACCAAAACAGCUCUAAAACAAAGUCUAUUCAUUAUUUUUUAAAAGAUGUACACAUAUCAAAAAAGACGAAAGGCAGAGCUAUUCACUCAGCAAAGCUUUCUAUCUACUGUAUGCCAAGCAGGUACUAGAUACAAGAGCAUCUGGUGAUAGAUACAAGAAAUACAAAAAGGAAUUCAUUCCUUCAGUAAAUAUUUACUGAGCACCUGUUCUAGGCACUGAAGACUCGGUUGUGAAUUAAACACAAAAAAUCUCUAUGUUCUGGCCGUGUGUAGUGGCUCACACCUGUAAUCCUAGCACUUUGGGAGGCCAAGUCGGGCGGAUUGCCUGAGCUCAGGGGUUCCGGACCAGCCUGGCAAACAUGAUGAAACCUCGUCUCUACUAAAAAUACAAAAAUUAGCUGGGCGUGGUGGUGCAUGCCUGUAGACCCAGCUACUCAGGAGGCUGAGGCGGGAGAAUUGCUUGAACCCAGAAGGCGGAGGUUGCAGUGAGCCAAGAUUGCUCCAGCCUGGGUGACAGAGCCAGACUCCGUCUCAAAAAACAAUAAAAAAUAAAAAACUCCACGUUCCAUUCGUGGAGCUUGCAUUCUAAUGGGGAAGACAAAAAGUUAUUGCCCAUCACUGUCCUCUAGACAUCAUGUGACCUUGGGAGGUUGGAAAUGCGUUGUUUUUGCUUCAUUUUGUGUUCAGUGUUUUAACUCAGAAACAUCUAUUUGGGAGCUUUACUCAUUACUCCCAGCAAAAGCCAUGAGUGUAGACUGUGCAUGAGAUGAAGGAACUGGUCCUUGCAGAACACCAGAAUGGAAAAGGCAAGAAACAGCCCAAGGUGAGGAAAGAAAACCAGCGAGAACAAAGAGCUGGUACUAUCUCUGAAGCCCGUGGAGGCCAAAGUGUGAAUAUGAGGGGGUAGGUCUCUUGGCCACAGGCCUGAAACCAAAUGAACCCCCACCCCCAGGCUGCAGUUCCCAGUGCACUUGGAAAUGAGACCCUGACUCCUCCAGGUGAGCCUGGGAGACCUCCCUGACUCCUUUCCAUCUCCCCCUCCUCCCCCACACCCAUCUCCAAGGCCUGCCCUCUACGCCCACAUUUCUUCCCACUUUGGAUCCUGUGCCUGGUCUAAUGCCCAGGCCCCCUCCCGAGCCUCUGGUCUCCCUAGAGCCACUCCCCACUGUCGGGACACCUCAUCUGUGCUCCCCAAAACGCCACGCAAAGCACUGGAGAGCCUUGGACAAUGAACACAACCCGCACCCCCAGCCACCCCCGCCACAGCCG